UACGUAGGUGGCGAGCGUUGUCCGGAUUUACUGGGCGUAAAGAGCGCGCAGGCGGUCGUGCAAGUCGCGUGUGAAAGCCCCGGGCUCAACCUGGGAAUUGCAUUUGAGACUGCGUAGCUAGGGUGCGGAAGAGGGAAGCGGAAUUUCCGGUGUAGCGGUGAAAUGCGUAGAUAUCGGAAGGAACACCAGUGGCGAAAGCGGCUUCCUGGUCCAGCACCGACGUCAGGCACGAAAGCGUGGGGAGCAAACAGG
Molecule: ribosomal RNA, 252 nt
Filed under: uncultured bacterium
Lineage: Bacteria
Description: partial 16S ribosomal RNA
Rfam family: Bacterial small subunit ribosomal RNA
Source: RNAcentral